GACGAACGCUGGCGGCGUGCCUAAUACAUGCAAGUCGAACGGAAAGACGAUGAGCUUGCGUCGCUGAUGUUAGCGGAGGGCGGGUGAGUAACACGUGGAUAACCUACCUAUAAGACUGAGAUAACUUCGGGAAACCGGAGAUAAUACCAGAUGAUCUUUUGAACCGCAUGGUUCAAUGGUGAGAGUCGGUCUUGCUGUCACUAAUAGAUGGAUCUGGGCUGCAUUAGCUAGUUGGGAAGGUAACGGCCUACCAAGGCUAGGAGGCAUAGACGACGUGAGAGGGGGGUCGGCCGCAUGAGAAGUGAGACACGCACCAGACGCCUACGGGAGGGACCAGAAGGGUAUCGUCGGCAACGGGCGGAAGCCUGACGGAGCGACGCGGAGUGAGUGAUGACGGCGCCCGGAGCGGAAUACCCGGUUUUGAGGGAAGAACAGAUGUGUAAUUUAAUGUGCACAGCUUGACGGUACUGAGUCAGAAAGCACCGGCUAACUACGUG
This 497-nucleotide ribosomal RNA is filed under the name uncultured bacterium. RNAcentral's name for it is "partial 16S ribosomal RNA". It matches the Rfam family "Bacterial small subunit ribosomal RNA", at positions 28 to 507 of the family's 1533-position model. The record is from RNAcentral.